Molecule: ribosomal RNA, 438 nt
Filed under: Bacillus amyloliquefaciens
Lineage: Bacteria; Bacillati; Bacillota; Bacilli; Caryophanales; Bacillaceae
Description: bacterial SSU rRNA
Rfam family: Bacterial small subunit ribosomal RNA
Source: RNAcentral
ACUUGCUCCCUGAUGUUACGGCGGANGGGUGAGUACACGUGGGUACCUGCCUGUAAGACUGGGAUAACUCCGGGAAACCGGGGCUAAUACCGGAUGGUUGUUUGAACCGCAUGGUUCAGACAUAAAAGGUGGCUUCGGCUACCACUUACAGAUGGACCCGCGGCGCAUUAGCUAGUUGGUGAGGUAACGGCUCACCAAGGCGACGAUGCGUAGCCGACCUGAGAGGGUGAUCGGCCACACUGGGACUGAGACACGGCCCAGACUCCUACGGGAGGCAGCAGUAGGGAAUCUUCCGCAAUGGACGAAAGUCUGACGGAGCAACGCCGCGUGAGUGAUGAAGGUUUUCGGAUCGUAAAGCUCUGUUGUUAGGGAAGAACAAGUGCCGUUCAAAUAGGGCGGCACCUUGACGGUACCUAACCAGAAAGCCACGGCUAACUA